AAUACCGCGUAACACCUUUUGGGAGCAUUCCCGGGAGGUUAAAGGAGAGAUCCGGCAUAGGAUGGACAUGCGUCGCAUUAGGUAGACGGCGGGGUAACGGCCCACCGUGCCGACGAUGCGUAGGGGUUCUGAGAGGAAGGCCCCCCACACUGGUACUGAGACACGGACCAGACUCCUACGGGAGGCAGCAGUGAGGAAUAUUGGUCAAUGGCCGAGAGGCUGAACCAGCCAAGUCGCGUGAGGGAAGAAUGUCCUAAGGAUUGUAAACCUCUUUUGUCGGGGAGCAAAAAGGCUCUGCGGAGUCGUAUUGAGAGUACCCGAAGAAAAAGCAUCGGCUAACUCCGUGCCAGCAGCCGCGGUAAUACGGAGGAUGCGAGCGUUAUCCGGAUUUAUUGGGUUUAAAGGGUGCGCAGGCGGCGUGUCAAGCAAGCGGUAAAAUAGCGGGGCUCAACCCCGUCGAGCCGUUUGAACUGGCGCGCUUGAGUUCAGGCGAGGUAGGCGGAAUUCGUGGUGUAGCGGUGAAAUGUAUAGAUAUCACGAAGAACUCCGAUUGCGAAGGCAGCUUACCAGUCUGCGACUGACGCUCAGGCACGAAAGUGUGGGUAUCGAACAGGAUUAGAUACCCUGGUAGUCCACACAGUAAACGAUGAGCGCUAGGUGUCCGGGUCGCAUGAGACUUGGGUGCCCGAGC
This 691-nucleotide ribosomal RNA is filed under the name uncultured bacterium. RNAcentral describes it as "bacterial SSU rRNA". It matches the Rfam family "Bacterial small subunit ribosomal RNA", at positions 165 to 852 of the family's 1533-position model. The record is from RNAcentral.